GGACUGGUUAGCUCAGUGGUUUGAGCGCGGUGCUGACAACAAAGACAACACCGAUAUCGCGGGUUCGAUUCCCGCUCGGUCCC
Non-coding RNA from Apaloderma vittatum (bar-tailed trogon), 83 nucleotides. Lineage: Eukaryota; Metazoa; Chordata; Aves; Trogoniformes; Trogonidae. The record is from Rfam.